AGUAGUCAUGGCCCGCUAGCAAUCGAUUGAGUGUUCGUACUUCAAUAUUGUUUAACGGUAGCUUGUGGUGCCAGGGCUUCUUAGGGAUUGUGUUGCAAACCUGGAAAAACUUCCUCCCUUUUCCAAGUUCUGCGGUGUAAUUGAGAUACCAUAGUUGAGCUUCCUAUAUUGUCGCUGGUGGUGCCGGCCUUGGCCAACUGGUCCGCCAUAUCGUUGCCUUUGACGCCAGUGUGCCCGGGUAUCCACUGUAUAGUUGUUCCGGAUUUCGUAGCCAUUUCCAGGAUAUUGUCUAUGACUCGAUCUCGGUCUCGUUUGGCGAUGUUGCUUCUAAUCAAUUCACAUCCAGAUUUGGAAUCCGUCAUGAUCACUGGGCUCGUUAUGUUGCUUCUUGUGAUGUACUGCAGUGCGACGUAUAUUGCCUCUAUUUCGGCUGACAUAAUGCACACAGAGUGCUGCAAACGAAGACUUAUCCUGACGUUCCUGGAUUCGUGGUAAAUUCCAAUGCCACAGUUUUCACCGUUGUCUGAGGCAUCAGUAUAGAUGAUUUGUCGAUUAUUAUAUGUUCCGUUUAUCAGCGAUAGGAAAUCAAAAUGGCGUCCGAGACACGUUUUUCUUCACUCCGAAAAAAAUAACACGUCCGUCACGAUCGAGAUCUACCAAACGAAAACCGAUAUUU
This 676-nucleotide long non-coding RNA is filed under the name Aedes aegypti (yellow fever mosquito). RNAcentral's name for it is "lncRNA AAEL025419". Lineage: Eukaryota; Metazoa; Arthropoda; Insecta; Diptera; Culicidae. The record is from RNAcentral.